Molecule: ribosomal RNA, 253 nt
Filed under: uncultured bacterium
Lineage: Bacteria
Description: partial 16S ribosomal RNA
Rfam family: Bacterial small subunit ribosomal RNA
Source: RNAcentral
UACGUAGGGCGCAAGCGUUGUCCGGAAUCAUUGGGCGUAAAGAGCUCGUAGGCGGCCUGUUGCGUCCGCUGUGAAAUCCCGGGGCUUAACCCCGGGCGUGCAGUGGAUACGGGCUGGCUGGAGGCAGGCAGGGGAGAACGGAAUUCCCGGUGUAGCGGUGGAAUGCGUAGAUAUCGGGAGGAACACCAGUGGCGAAGGCGGUUGCCUGGGGCUUUGCUGACGCUGAUGCGCGAAAGCGUGGGGAGCGAUCCGG